Molecule: ribosomal RNA, 243 nt
Filed under: uncultured eukaryote
Lineage: Eukaryota
Description: partial 18S ribosomal RNA
Rfam family: Eukaryotic small subunit ribosomal RNA
Source: RNAcentral
CGUAGUUGGAUUUCUGGUACAAUGCGCCUGGCCCGCGGCAGUAAUGCUCGUGAGUGCCGGAGCGCGUUGACCAUCCUUCUAGAAAACGUUUCUACCCUUUACUGGGCCGGACUCGCGAUCUAGAUCUUUUACUUUGAAAAAAUUAGAGUGUUCAAAGCAGGCUUUUGCUGUGAAUACAUUAGCAUGGAAUAAUAAUCUAGGACUUCGGUUCUAUUUUGUUGGUUUCUAGAAUUGAAGUAAUGA